GCAGCCAUCAUUUAAAGAAAGCGUAAUAGCUCACUGGUCGAGUCGGCCUGCGCGGAAGAUGUAACGGGGCUAAACCAUGCACCGAAGCUGCGGCAGCGAACGUAUCACUUAAAGCGAUUCAGCGGGUUACGAUUGACGGAGCGAAGCGACGUCAAAGCGUAUACAAAGUCGAGUCGGUUUAAGGAUACGUUCGUUGGGUAGGGGAGCGUUCUGUAAGCCUGUGAAGGUGGCCUGUGAGGGUUGCUGGAGGUAUCAGAAGUGCGAAUGCUGACAUAAGUAACGAUAAAGCGGGUGAAAAGCCCGCUCGCCGGAAGACCAAGGGUUCCUGUCCAACGUUAAUCGGGGCAGGGUGAGUCGACCCCUAAGGCGAGGCCGAAAGGCGUAGUCGAUGGGAAACGGGUUAAUAUUCCCGUACUUGGUGUUACUGCGAAGGGGGGACGGAGAAGGCUAUGUUGGCCGGGCGACGGUUGUCCCGGUUUAAGCGUGUAGGUGUGUGUUCCAGGUAAAUCCGGUUCACUUUAACACUGAGGCGUGA
RNAcentral lists this ribosomal RNA (535 nucleotides) under Salmonella enterica. RNAcentral's name for it is "partial 23S ribosomal RNA". It matches the Rfam family "Bacterial large subunit ribosomal RNA", at positions 1112 to 1566 of the family's 2925-position model. The record is from RNAcentral. Lineage: Bacteria; Pseudomonadati; Pseudomonadota; Gammaproteobacteria; Enterobacterales; Enterobacteriaceae.